CUAUAGUCAGAUUUCAAACUUGAGAGUUUGAUCCUGGCUCAGAACGAACGCUGGCGGCAGGCUUAACACAUGCAAGUCGAACGCCCUCUUCGGAGGGAG
Molecule: ribosomal RNA, 99 nt
Filed under: Arsenicitalea aurantiaca
Lineage: Bacteria; Pseudomonadati; Pseudomonadota; Alphaproteobacteria; Hyphomicrobiales; Devosiaceae
Description: partial 16S ribosomal RNA
Rfam family: Bacterial small subunit ribosomal RNA (bases 16-99)
Source: RNAcentral